This 1360-nucleotide ribosomal RNA is filed under the name uncultured bacterium. RNAcentral describes it as "bacterial SSU rRNA". It matches the Rfam family "Bacterial small subunit ribosomal RNA". The record is from RNAcentral.
AGAGUUUGAUCCUGGCUCAGGACGAACGCUAGCGGCGUGCAUAACACAUUCAAGUCGAACGAGGUAGCAAUACCUAGUGGCGGACGGGUGAGUAACGCGUGAGCAACCUGCCCUUGUGUGGGGGAUACCGUCUGGAAACGGACGUUAAUACCGCAUAACGUUACGGAAUCGCAUGGUUCUGUGACCAAAGAUUUAUUGCGCAAGGAUGGGCUCGCGUCUGAUUAGAUAGUUGGUGAGGUAACGGCCCACCAAGUCUACGAUCGGUAGCCGGACUGAGAGGUUGAACGGCCACAUUGGAACUGAGAUACGGUCCAGACUCCUACGGGAGGCAGCAGUGGGGAAUAUUGGGCAAUGGGCGAAAGCCUGACCCAGCGACGCCGCGUGAAGGAGGAAGGUCUUCGGAUUGUAAACUUCUUUUAUUAGGGACGAAAACUGACGGUACCUAAUGAAUAAGCCACGGCUAACUACGUGCCAGCAGCCGCGGUAAUACGUAGGUGGCAAGCGUUAUCCGGAUUUACUGGGUGUAAAGGGUGUGUAGGCGGGAUGGCAAGUCAGAUGUGAAAACUAUGGGCUCAACUCAUAGCCUGCAUUUGAAACUGUCGUUCUUGAGGGUCGGAGAGGUAACUGGAAUUCCGUGUGUAGCGGUGAAAUGCGUAGAUAUACGGAGGAACACCAGUGGCGAAGGCGGGUUACUGGACGAUACCUGACGCUGAGACACGAAAGUGUGGGGAGCAAACAGGAUUAGAUACCCUGGUAGUCCACACUGUAAACGAUGAAUGCUAGGUGUAGGGGGUAUCGACCCCUUCUGUGCCGGAGUUAACACAAUAAGUAUUCCACCUGGGGAGUACGACCGCAAGGUUGAAACUCAAAGGAAUUGACGGGGGCCCGCACAAGCAGUGGAUUAUGUGGUUUAAUUCGACGCAACGCGAAGAACCUUACCAGGACUUGACAUCCAACUAACGAAGUAGAGAUACAUUAGGUGCCCUUCGGGGAAAGUUGAGACAGGUGGUGCAUGGUUGUCGUCAGCUCGUGUCGUGAGAUGUUGGGUUAAGUCCCGCAACGAGCGCAACCCUUGCUAUUAGUUGCUACGCAAGAGCACUCUAAUAGGACUGCCGUUGACAAAACGGAGGAAGGUGGGGACGACGUCAAAUCAUCAUGCCCCUUAUGACCUGGGCUACACACGUACUACAAUGGCCAUCAACAGAGGGAAGCAAAGGAGCGAUCCGGAGCAAACCCCUAAAAAUGGUCCCAGUUCAGAUUGUAGGCUGCAACUCGCCUACAUGAAGGUGGAAUUGCUAGUAAUCGCAGAUCAGCAUGCUGCGGUGAAUACGUUCCCGGGCCUUGCACUCACCGCCCGUCA